UCUGCUCAAAAUGUUUUUUAAAUUGCUGUGGUAUUUUGACUAUACGAAGGUAUUGAAAUAAGAUUUUAAAUGAGUGCUAAGAGAAUGGUUGAACAAUUAUAAGCUUUCUUUAAUUUAAUAAUUAAAUUUAAUUUUUUUGUGAAGAAGCAAAAAUAAAAAUUAGGGACAAGAAGACCCUAUGAAUUUUAAUUUAUUUAUUAUAUAAAAUGUGUUAAAUAAAUUUAAUUGGGGCGAUUGGAAAAGAAUAAAUAUCUUUUUUUAAAUAAUUUUUUAAAUUGGUUCCGUUUUUAGCGAUUAAAUGAAAAAAAUACUCUAGGGAUAACAGCGUAAUAAUUUUGGAUAGUUCAUAUUGAUAAAAUAGUUUGCGACCUCGAUGUUGGAUUAGGAUUCUUUUUUGGUGAAGAAGUUAUAAAAAGAAGUUUGUUCAACCUUUAAUUUCCUACUUGAUCUGAGUUCAGACCGGA
This 464-nucleotide ribosomal RNA is filed under the name Ixodes granulatus. RNAcentral describes it as "partial large subunit ribosomal RNA". The stretch from base 134 to 464 matches the Rfam family "Bacterial large subunit ribosomal RNA", at positions 2048 to 2620 of the family's 2925-position model. Lineage: Eukaryota; Metazoa; Arthropoda; Arachnida; Ixodida; Ixodidae. The record is from RNAcentral.